GAUGAACGCUGACAGAAUGCUUAACACAUGCAAGUCGACUUGUGGCGGACGGGUGAGUAACGCGUAAAGAACUUGGCUCUCGGAUAGGGACAACCUUAGGAAAGGAAAGCUCAUACCGGAAACUGUGAGCGAGCUUUGCGUCCCAUUAGCUAGUUGGAGAGGUACCGGCUCACCAAUGAGAUGAUGGGUAGCCGGCCUGAGAUGGUGAUCGGCCACAAGGGGACUGAGACACUGCCCGUACUCUUACGGGAGUCAGCAGUGGGGAAUAUUGGACGAUGGACCGAUGUCUGAAGCAGCAAUUCGGUGUGCACGAUAAAGUUUUCGGAAUGUAAAGUGCUUUCAGUUUGGAAGCGUUACCAACAGAAGAAGUGACGGCUAAAUACGUGCCAGCAGCCGCGGUAAUAC
Molecule: ribosomal RNA, 405 nt
Filed under: uncultured bacterium
Lineage: Bacteria
Description: partial 16S ribosomal RNA
Rfam family: Bacterial small subunit ribosomal RNA
Source: RNAcentral